Molecule: ribosomal RNA, 560 nt
Filed under: uncultured bacterium
Lineage: Bacteria
Description: bacterial SSU rRNA
Rfam family: Bacterial small subunit ribosomal RNA
Source: RNAcentral
ACAAGCAGCGGAGCAUGUGGUUUAAUUCGACGCAACGCGAAGAACCUUACCAGGUCUUGACAUCGAGGCAAAGCCGUAGAGAUACGGUGUGUCUUUCGGGACAGUUGAAGACAGGUGGUGCAUGGUUGUCGUCAGCUCGUGUCGUGAGAUGUUGGGUUAAGUCCCGCAACGAGCGCAACCCUUAUGAUCAGUUACUAACGCGUAAAGGCGAGGACUCUGAUGAGACCGCCGGGGACAACUCGGAGGAAGGUGGGGACGACGUCAAAUCAUCAUGCCCCUUAUGACCUGGGCUACACACGUGCUACAAUGGUGGCAACAAAGAGGGGCGAAGCCGUAAGGCGGAGCGGAUCUCAAAAAAUCCAUCUCAGUUCGGAUUGUGGGCUGCAACCCGCCCACAUGAAGUUGGAGUUGCUAGUAAUCGCGGAUCAGAAUGCCGCGGUGAAUACGUUCCCGGGCCUUGUACACACCGCCCGUCACACCAUGGGAGUUGGGAGCACCCGAAGUCAGUGAGAUAACCGCAAGGGGUCAGCUGCCGAAAGGUGAGACCGAUGACUGGGGUG